This 126-nucleotide long non-coding RNA is filed under the name Pan paniscus (pygmy chimpanzee). RNAcentral's name for it is "lncRNA (ENSPPAG00000044616.1)". Lineage: Eukaryota; Metazoa; Chordata; Mammalia; Primates; Hominidae. The record is from RNAcentral.
AUGCAUAUUCCUGAACUCCAAUCCAAACCUAGUAACAGAGCCAAGUUCUUCAUUAGCCACGAAUAUCCUCAAAAACCUACGGGUAAUAACCUUUAUAUCUUCUACUGUGAGCAUGAUGGAGGUUGA